RNAcentral lists this ribosomal RNA (435 nucleotides) under uncultured bacterium. RNAcentral's name for it is "partial 16S ribosomal RNA". It matches the Rfam family "Bacterial small subunit ribosomal RNA", at positions 29 to 507 of the family's 1533-position model. The record is from RNAcentral.
AGCGAACGCUGGCGGCAGGCUUAACACAUGCCAGUCGAGCGGGCACUUUCGGGUGUCAGCGGCGGACGGGUGAGUAACGCGUGGGAACGUGCCCUCUGGUUCGGAAUAACUCAGGGAAACUUGAGCUAAUACCGGAUACGCCCUUUUGGGGAAAGGCUUGCUGCCGGAGGAUCGGCCCGCGUCUGAUUAGCUAGUUGGUGAGGUAACGGCUCACCAAGGCGACGAUCAGUGGCUGGUCUGAGAGGAUGAUCAGCCACACUGGGACUGAGACACGGCCCAGACUCCUACGGGAGGCAGCAGUGGGGAAUAUUGGACAAUGGGCGCAAGCCUGAUCCAGCCAUGCCGCGUGAGUGAUGAAGGCCUUAGGGUUGUAAAGCUCUUUUAUCCGGGACGAUAAUGACGGUACCGGAGGAAUAAGCCCCGGCUAACUUCGUG